ACUAAUGAUGUAAAAGGCACUGGUAAGAGCUCAUAUGAAAUGCCAUGUUUCAUUCUAGUGACCCCUGUGUAAGGAUAUUAAAAUCAAACAUGACAUGUAGGAUACAGGUUUGCUUUCCAGAGGCUGAGCACAUAUUUUUUGAAGCAAACCUCUUCAAUAAACUUCAUCCAAAAUUAUUCCAGUUUGUGCACUGAAGAAACCAGACAAUGAUCCAAACAAGAUGUGAAAUGGUUUUUUCCCUCCUGCUGCUGACUGCAGUACACCUGAAGUUGCCACAGAGCCAAGAAUCCCUGCCACCAUAAUUUUUGUUUUUGCUGCUGAACUCAAGGUUGGCAUAGCAACUUGGGAUGCUACUCAAGCAAUCUGCCCUAAGGGAUUUAACCCUGUCAACUGGAAGAAGUCUGAGGUCUCCAUGGUUUUCUGUUCUACACAGACGAAACUGCAGUUUGAAUAAACAGAAGUCAGAGGAGUGAAACGGGCAAAUUUUGUUAAUUGUGAAUCAGAGAUUUUCUUCUGUCAGAUCAGAUUAGGUUCAGUACUUAGAUACAUGACAACAUUCCUGACUCUGUCUGUCAUGCUUCACAGACUGGGCAUCAAAAACAUAUCAGUUACAGUGCAGGGCACUCAGAUAACCAGAAUAUAUGCAUCCAAAGGGAGAUUAGCAGCUCAAACUACAAGGACAUUGCCCAUAGCCUUAAAUAUUAACAAAACCAUUUUGAGACAAAGAAUGCUAAAAAUUCAGAGGGCAAAGUCCAUCAUCAGAUUGAGAGCAAAAACACAGGGCAGUGUUAGAUACAAGUCACGUAAAUGAGAGAUGCUCUACCAUGAAGGUUGGCUUGUAGAGGAUUAAGAAUGAAGAACCACUAUGAUAGAAAUGGUAUUUCAGAUUGUGUAAUAGGAAAAUAUCAGACCAAGGACAGAGUUCUGAUAGAUGCUAGUAUA
Passer domesticus (house sparrow) is the source of this 942-nucleotide long non-coding RNA. RefSeq lists it as uncharacterized. The record is from RefSeq and is a predicted model, not a curated record. The transcript is spliced from 3 exons. NCBI's taxonomy places the organism in Eukaryota, Metazoa, Chordata, Aves, Passeriformes, Passeridae.